CGAAGCUGCAUGAACAGGAGGCCUAGAUCCCAUGCCACCUACCACUGUUGCACCAAUGCCCCUCUCAGCUCACACCUCGUGGGGGUCUCCCCGUGACCAGCUGAGAGGACGGACAAGGCUGAGGUUGGUUCGUGCAUGGAUCGGGCUCAGUGUUGGUGUGCGCUGAAGACAAUUGCGGUUGCACUCACUUCCUGCUGGGGGCGUGGCCUCAAAGACAGUGGGCGGAGCUUUGGGUGGACCCCUGGCCACCUAUGUGUGUAAAGAGAGAAGUGGCCUGAGGUCAGGGUAUGCGUGGGCUCAGGGGCAGUGGCUGAACUGGUCGGGAGAGUCUGCAAGGAGCAAGACAGGAAGAAUGGGAAGAUGUGGGGGAGGCGUGUGCGUGGACUGGGGGAGGGGCACACCGCGUGAGGAUCCUCGUCUCCCACGUUAACCCCUGGGAGCAUCCGGUGCACAGGGACACUAAACAACCAGGUGGACGGGAUGACCCUGCCAGCCUUUGUCCUGGGCGGCCACCGCACUUGGGCCACAGGCUCAUGAAGUGGAACAGUUACGGUGGCAGAGCUGGACGCCACUCCUGGGCCCGAGAGAAGGUGUUUCUACUCAUCGAGGCUGCUGUGGUUGCUGCACCUCUGCGUGUCUGACCUGUCAGCUACUGAGGCCGACUCUAAGCUCCCGAGAUGGUACCAUCCCCUUGAGGCGGCCAACCAGCCAGGCACUUGGUGGCAAGUUAAUUUCAUUGGACCCCCUUCCAUCUUGGAAAAGGCAGGUGGCUGAUUCACUGGCGUGGAUCCUGAGCAACACCACCCAUGGCCAAGGGAUUGACCUUCUGGGAAAAGUGCAGCAGCAGGGGACGUGGUAAGGGUUCCACCCAACUUCAAGCUGCCGUUCUGCCUGUCUCUCUGGGCCCCCGUGCCAGUGGCGCAGCAGGCACAGAAAGGCGACUCCAUGCGGGCAGGAUGCGAGGUCCCGGCCAUCAUGAGGAACCAGUGCUGCUGGAUGGUGGGGACAGGGAGGGUGUGACGGGCACUCAGGUGUCCACCCAGCGAUUGUGACCAAGUGUGCUGGAGAAGAUGUGCCUGGAUGGAGGAGUGGAUGCACGAAGCAGUUUCCCUUCCUUGAUGACAAGUGUGACUUCUGGAGAAGAUUCACCUUCUGGGAAUCCAGGGGUUUCUCCCGGCCCACGUGGACGGGGAGACGGGAUACAGAGUGUUGGGAGGUGAGAAGCAAGAAGGAACGUUCUGGAAACAUUAUCACCGCUCAGCCCUCAGUCCGACCCGCCUUCCCCAGGAGGCCCUGAGCUCUCCUCACGGGCUCCUGCUUCAUCUUCUGUAUUUUCUCCUUAACACCUAAGACUUGACGUGAUCUCCGGUCUGUGCCUGUUUGUUUAUUAGCUGUUUCUUCCACUGGAAGUCGGCCCCAGUAUUCACUGAGCAAACGGACAACCCUUCCUGGGUCAAUACAUGUUAUCUGCCCCUUGCCUUUAAAAAAACAUGGGGUAAAAUAGCCAUGACAUAAAAUUUACCAUUUUGACCACUUUUAAGCAUACUGUUCGGUGGCAUUAAGCACAUUCAUGUUGUCGUGCAACCGUGACCACCGUCCACGUCCAGAGCGUUUCCGUCUUCCCCAGCUGAAGCUCUGGCCCCGUUAAACACUGACUCCCCAUCCCACUCCCUCCACCCCUGGCACCCGCCCCUGUUCUGCUUUCUGUCCCUAGGCACUUGACCCCUCUGGGGGCCUCGUGGAAGAGGAAUCAUACCGCACUUGUCUGUGUCUGGCUUCUUUCACUUAGCAGAAUGUCUUUCAGGUCACUCAAUGUGACACGUGUCAGAAUUUCCUCCCUUUUUUAAGGCUGAAUAAUAUUCCAUUGUCUGGAUAGGUCACACUUCAGCCUUUUCUUUUAAUGACUGAGUAGGAUAGCUUCAUUUAGUUGAAAAUUCUGUAUUGAGAGACAUUUAGCUUUCCUUUUUUAUUUUUCUAUCUACUAACGAUGCAGGAAAACAUACCCUUUAAUAUGUUUUUUAUAUACUCAUGCUAUGACUUCUGUAGGACACAUUUCUCAAAGUGGGAUGGCUGGGUCGUUGGGUAGAAGCAUUUCAAAUGUUUUUAGACACCAGCAAAUUGUUCUCCCGAAAUGUUAUACUAAUUUCUGCUUGCAGCAAAAGCAUUUGAGCGAGUCCUUUCUCUCACCCUAAGUUUCUAUCUUCUAAAAUGUUGCCAAUCUGGUAGAUAAAAUAUGAUUAGCUCAUUGUUUUUUUUUUCUUUGUUUUUAUUGAGGUAACAUUGGUUUAUAACAUUAUAGAAAUUUCAGAUGUACAUCAGUAUAUUUCAGUUUCUGUGUAGAUUACAUCAUGUUCACCACCCAAAGACUAAUUACCAUCUCUCACCACAUACGUGUACCCUCUCACCCUUUCUACCCUCCCCCCUCUGCCUGCCCCCUCUGGUGACCACCAAUCUAAUCUCUGUAUCUAUGUGUUUGUUGUUGCUUUUAUCUUCAAUUUAUCAGUGAAAUCAUACGGUAUUUGAUUUCUCUGUCUUAUUUAUUUUGCUUUUGGCAUAAUACCCUCAAAGUCCACCCACAUUGUCGCAAAUGGCAAGAUUUCAUCUUUUUUCUGGCUGAGUGGUAUUCCACUGUGUGUAUACACCACACCUUCCUUAUCCACUCAUCCAUUGAUGGGGGCUUAGGUUGUUUCCACGUCUUGGCUAUUGUGAAUAAUGCUGUAACGAACAUAGGGC
This is a long non-coding RNA of Equus caballus (horse), 2733 nucleotides long. The record is from Ensembl. NCBI's taxonomy places the organism in Eukaryota, Metazoa, Chordata, Mammalia, Perissodactyla, Equidae.